UGGGGAAUUUUGGACAAUGGACGCAAGUCUGAUCCAGCAAUGCCGCGUGCAGGAUGAAGGCCGUCGGGUUGUAAACUGCUUUUGUACGGAGCGAAAAGGUCUGCCCUAAUACGGUGGGCUCAUGACGGUACCGUAAGAAUAAGCACCGGCUAACUACGUGCCAGCAGCCGCGGUAAUACGUAGGGUGCGAGCGUUAAUCGGAAUUACUGGGCGUAAAGCGUGCGCAGGCGGUUAUAUAAGACAGGUGUGAAAUCCCCGGGCUCAACCUGGGACCUGCAUUUGUGACUGUAUAGCUAGAGUACGGUAGAGGGGGAUGGAAUUCCGCGUGUAGCAGUGAAAUGCGUAGAUAUGCGGAGGAACACCGAUGGCGAAGGCAAUCCCCUGGACCUGUACUGACGCUCAUGCACGAAAGCGUGGGGAGCAAACA
This 427-nucleotide ribosomal RNA is filed under the name uncultured bacterium. RNAcentral describes it as "bacterial SSU rRNA". It matches the Rfam family "Bacterial small subunit ribosomal RNA", at positions 355 to 774 of the family's 1533-position model. The record is from RNAcentral.